Molecule: ribosomal RNA, 406 nt
Filed under: uncultured bacterium
Lineage: Bacteria
Description: partial 16S ribosomal RNA
Rfam family: Bacterial small subunit ribosomal RNA
Source: RNAcentral
AUUGAACGCUGGCGGCAGGCCUAAAACAUGCAAGUCGAACGAGUGGCGGACGGGUGAGGAAUGUCGGGGAAAAUGCCAGAAGGAGGGGUAUAAAUGCGGGAAACGGUAGCUAAUACCGCAUACCAUCGAAUGGGCCCAGAUGGGAUUAGCUAGUGGGGGGGGUAAUGGCUCACCUUGGCGACGAUCCCUAGCUGGUCUGAGAGGAUUAACAGCCACACUGGAACUGAGACACGGUCCAGACUCCUACGGGAGGCAGCAGUGGGGAAUAUUGCACAAUGGGCGCAAGCCUGAUGCAGCCAUGCCGCGUGUAUGAAGAAGGCCUUCGGGUUGUAAAGUACUUUCAGCGAGGAGGCGUUACUCGCAGAAGAAGCACCGGCUAACUCCGUGCCAGCAGCCGCGGUAAUUC